Molecule: ribosomal RNA, 804 nt
Filed under: uncultured bacterium
Lineage: Bacteria
Description: bacterial SSU rRNA
Rfam family: Bacterial small subunit ribosomal RNA
Source: RNAcentral
AGUCGACGGCAGCGCGGGAGCAAUCCUGGCGGCGAGUGGCGAACGGGUGAGUAAUAUAUCGGAACGUACCUUUCAGUGGGGGAUAACGUAGCGAAAGUUACGCUAAUACCGCAUAUUCUGUGCGCAGGAAAGCAGGGGAUCGCAAGACCUUGCGCUGAUUGAGCGGCCGAUAUCAGAUUAGCUAGUUGGUGAGGUAAAGGCUCACCAAGGCGACGAUCUGUAGCGGGUCUGAGAGGAUGAUCCGCCACACUGGAACUGAGACACGGUCCAGACUCCUACGGGAGGCAGCAGUGGGGAAUUUUGGACAAUGGGGGCAACCCUGAUCCAGCCAUGCCGCGUGAGUGAAGAAGGCCUUCGGGUUGUAAAGCUCUUUCGGCCGGGAAGAAAUCGCACAGGUUAAUACCCUGUGUGGAUGACGGUACCGGAAUAAGAAGCACCGGCUAACUACGUGCCAGCAGCCGCGGUAAUACGUAGGGUGCGAGCGUUAAUCGGAGUUACUGGGCGUAAAGCGUGCGCAGGCGGUUUUGUAAGACAGGCGUGAAAUCCCCGGGCUCAACCUGGGAACUGCGUUUGUGACUGCAAGGCUAGAGUAUGGCAGAGGGGGGUGGAAUUCCACGUGUAGCAGUGAAAUGCGUAGAGAUGUGGAGGAACACCGAUGGCGAAGGCAGCCCCCUGGGCCAAUACUGACGCUCAUGCACGAAAGCGUGGGUAGCAAACAGGAUUAGAUACCCUGGUAGUCCACGCCCUAAACGAUGUCAACUAGGUGUUGGGUGGGUAAAACCAUUUAGUACCGGAGCUAACGCG